AGGAUGAACGCUGGCGGCGUGCCUAACACAUGCAAGUCGAACGUCCUGUCUCGCAAGAGGCAGGGAGUGGCGGACGGGUGAGUACCACGUGGGUCAUCUACCGUGAGGUGAGGAAUACCGGCGAGAAAUCGCCGACAAGACCGCAUAGGCUCGAUGCAAGUCGAGCAAAGCUCUUUCGAGAGAGGGAGCGCCACACGAGGAGCCUGCGCCCGAUUAGCUAGCUGGUGGAGUAACGGUUCACCAGGGCGACGAUCGGUAGCUGGUCUGAGAGGACGAUCAGCCACACUGGGAUUGAGAACGGCCCAGACUCCUACGGGGGCAGCAGUGAGGAAUUUUCGUCAAUGGGGGCAACCCUGAACGAGCAACGCCGCGUGCAGGAAGAAGGUUUUCGGAUCGUAACUGCUUUUCUCGGGGAAGAGAACGGACGGUACCCGAGGAAUCGAGCCCCGGCUAACUACGUGCCAGCAGCCGCGGU
RNAcentral lists this ribosomal RNA (475 nucleotides) under uncultured bacterium. Its description in RNAcentral is "SSU rRNA". It matches the Rfam family "Bacterial small subunit ribosomal RNA", at positions 26 to 521 of the family's 1533-position model. The record is from RNAcentral.